GGUAAGUUAGGGUUUGGGAGUGGGGAAGGUUGGGGAAGAUGAUGUGGGUGUAUUUUUUUUUCAUUAUUAUUUUUAAAAUAUGGUUCGGUUUUUUUGGUUCGGUUCGGUUCGGGCCUCAAAGGCCUACACAUUUAAACAACAAAUCUCAGGCUUCAACAUCUGGAAAGCCUAAGAAGAAAAAAGUGGUUGGAGUAGGUCUUUAUGUGAAUUUGGAAAGUGGAAGGCAGAUCUUUUAUGGUCACAACCAAUUGUGAUUGAUGAAGGCACAUCCAAUGAGGCAGACCCAAACACAAGAUUCUCCAUACCAAAUGAAGCUCAACUAAGGAAAGAAAGGAGAAAGAGAGGAGAAAACACCUCAACUGGAGUAUCAAUGAAGAAGAAAGAUCAGCCAAGAAACCCAUUUAAAGCACCAAGAAAACAAGCUACAAAAACUGUGGAUCCAGAGCAACCACAUAUGAGAAGCACCAGAGGACAAAAAGUCAUUUCCUAGUUUUAAGUUUAGUGUGGAAA
This is a long non-coding RNA of Salvia miltiorrhiza (redroot sage), 510 nucleotides long. RefSeq lists it as uncharacterized. The record is from RefSeq and is a predicted model, not a curated record. Lineage: Eukaryota; Viridiplantae; Streptophyta; Magnoliopsida; Lamiales; Lamiaceae. The transcript is spliced from 3 exons.